UUGAUCCUGGCUCAGAAUCAACGCUGGCGGCGUGCCUAACACAUGCAAGUCGAACGCGGUUAGUAGCAAUACUAACUGAGUGGCGAACGGGUGAGUAACUCGUGGGUGACCUACCUUCGAGUGGGGGAUAACGUCCCGAAAGGGACGCUUAUACCGCAUGACAUCCUGCCUUUGAACAGGCGGAGAUCAAAGCCGGGGAUCGCAAGACCUGGCGCUUGAUGAGGGGCCCGCGUCUGAUUAGCUAGUUGGUGAGGUAACGGCUCACCAAGGCGACGAUCAGUAUCCGGCCUGAGAGGGCGUACGGACACACUGGGACUGAGACACGGCCCAGACUCCUACGGGAGGCAGCUGUGGGGAAUUGUUCACAAUGGGCGCAAGCCUGAUGACGCAACGCCGCGUUGAGGAUGAAGGUCUUCGGAUUGUAAACUCCUGUUGCUCGGGAAGAAUGGUUCCGACCUAAUACGUCGGAGUGUGACGGUACCGGGUGAGGAAGCCCCGGUUAACUCUGUGCCAGCAGCCGCGGUAAUAAGGU
RNAcentral lists this ribosomal RNA (532 nucleotides) under uncultured Acidobacteriota bacterium. Its description in RNAcentral is "bacterial SSU rRNA". It matches the Rfam family "Bacterial small subunit ribosomal RNA", at positions 13 to 529 of the family's 1533-position model. The record is from RNAcentral. Lineage: Bacteria; Pseudomonadati; Acidobacteriota.